RNAcentral lists this ribosomal RNA (460 nucleotides) under uncultured bacterium. RNAcentral's name for it is "partial 16S ribosomal RNA". It matches the Rfam family "Bacterial small subunit ribosomal RNA", at positions 338 to 795 of the family's 1533-position model. The record is from RNAcentral.
CCUACGGGGCGCUGCAGUGAGGAAUAUUGGUCAAUGGACGAGAGUCUGAACCAGCCAAGUAGCGUGAAGGAUGACUGCCCUAUGGGUUGUAAACUUCUUUUAUAUGGGAAUAAAACGUUCCACGUGUGGGAUUUUGUAUGUACCAUAUGAAUAAGGAUCGGCUAAAUCCGUGCCAGCAGCCGCGGUAAUACGGAGGAUCCGAGCGUUAUCCGGAUUUAUUGGGUUUAAAGGGAGCGUAGGUGGAUUGUUAAGUUAGUUGUGAAAGUUUGCGGCUCAACCGUAAAAUUGCAGUUGAAACUGGCAGUCUUGAGUACAGUAGAGGUGGGCGGAAUUCGUGGUGUAGCGGUGAAAUGCUUAGAUAUCACGAAGAACUCCGAUUGCGAAGGCAGUUCACUGGACUGCAACUGACACUGAGGCUCGAAAGUGUGGGUAUCAAACAGGAUUAGAUACCCGGGUAGUC